Molecule: non-coding RNA, 522 nt
Organism: Pelobates cultripes (western spadefoot toad)
Lineage: Eukaryota; Metazoa; Chordata; Amphibia; Anura; Pelobatidae
Source: the annotation of a GenBank genome assembly
UAGGUUGAGGAGGCGGCCAACACUGUUUUUAUUUUUAUAUAUAUAUAUAUAUAUAUAUAUAUAUAUAUUUUUUUAUUUUUUUUUAAUUGGGGUAGCCCCCAAAAUAUUGGGACAUAUAAAAAAAGACAACUCUGUUCCACAGAGUAGCUGCUGAUAUUAUAGUUGUGCUAGAACUUUGUUGACUCUAGAGAACCUCGUGCAAAUCGCACAUCCCCGUGGCGGCGACUUUGCAUGCGGAUGUCAUUCAUAUCAACUUUCGAUGCUAGUUUCUGCGCCUACCAUGGUGAUCACGGGUAAUGGGGAAUCAGGGUUCCAUUCCGUACAGGGACCCUGAGAAACGGCUACCGCAUGCAAUGAAGGCAGCAGGCGCACAAAUGACCCACUCCCGACGCGGGAAGGUAGUGACAACAAAUAACAAUACAGGACUCUGUAGAGGCUCUGUAAUUGUAAUGAGUCCACUUGAAGUCCUUUAAUUUUGAUCAUUUGGAAGGAAGUCUGUAGUGUAGAACAUAUCAGUCUGUU